GGGAGGGAGGAAGCAGGAGCAUCUCUGAACUGUGGGCAAGGAGGGUGUGAACUCAGUGAGUCAGAGUCACUUCUCCUGGGGCCUCGCCUCUGACGUGCCUCCAUUCCAGGCAAGUGAAGACAUCCAGCCAUGGAGGGGGGGUCUACAUGAGCCCACGGCAGCCCGCUCCCUCUCCUCUGGACCGGACGCCACCAGAACCUCGUGCAGGGACACCCGUCCACACCUGACAGCCCACCCAGGUCCAUCUUCUUCAGGUUCUUGGCCUCCAGGACAAUGACCGUGGACCUGGGCUUGGGCCUGGCUCUUCUUGCCCGUUCGCCUUCCACAUCGCUUCCGGAGGAGACAGAAGCAGCAGCUGAAGACCACAAAGCCGGAGACCAGCACGAUCGUGGCCAGGGCCCAGGGGGGUACUGCAGAGG
Erinaceus europaeus (western European hedgehog) is the source of this 419-nucleotide long non-coding RNA. RefSeq lists it as uncharacterized. The transcript has 3 exons. The record is from RefSeq and is a predicted model, not a curated record. NCBI's taxonomy places the organism in Eukaryota, Metazoa, Chordata, Mammalia, Eulipotyphla, Erinaceidae.